RNAcentral lists this ribosomal RNA (256 nucleotides) under uncultured bacterium. RNAcentral describes it as "partial 16S ribosomal RNA". It matches the Rfam family "Bacterial small subunit ribosomal RNA", at positions 793 to 1055 of the family's 1533-position model. The record is from RNAcentral.
GUCCACGCCGUAAACGAUGGAUACUAGCUGUUGGGCGCAAGUUCAGUGGCUAAGCGAAAGUGAUAAGUAUCCCACCUGGGGAGUACGUUCGCAAGAAUGAAACUCAAAGGAAUUGACGGGGGCCCCGCACAAGCGGUGGAGCAUGUGGUUUAAUUCGAUGAUACGCGAGGAACCUUACCAAGGCUUAAAUGUAGAUUGACAGGACUGGAAACAGUUUUUUCUUCGGACAAUUUACAAGGUGCUGCAUGGUUGUCGU